This 253-nucleotide ribosomal RNA is filed under the name uncultured bacterium. RNAcentral describes it as "partial 16S ribosomal RNA". It matches the Rfam family "Bacterial small subunit ribosomal RNA", at positions 524 to 776 of the family's 1533-position model. The record is from RNAcentral.
UACGGAGGGUGCGAGCGUUGUCCGGAAUUACUGGGCGUAAAGGGCGCGUAGGCGGCCUAGUAAGUCAGACGUGAAAUCCCUCGGCUUAACCGGGGAACUGCGUCUGAUACUGGAGGGCUUGAGAUCGGGAGAGGGAUGCGGAAUUCCAGGUGUAGCGGUGAAAUGCGUAGAUAUCUGGAGGAACACCGGUGGCGAAGGCGGCAUCCUGGACCGACACUGACGCUGAGGCGCGAAAGCCAGGGGAGCAAACGGG